This 1459-nucleotide ribosomal RNA is filed under the name Lacticaseibacillus casei. RNAcentral describes it as "bacterial SSU rRNA". It matches the Rfam family "Bacterial small subunit ribosomal RNA". Lineage: Bacteria; Bacillati; Bacillota; Bacilli; Lactobacillales; Lactobacillaceae. RNAcentral also lists the same sequence under 1 other name. The record is from RNAcentral.
GCGUGCUAAUACAUGCAAGUCGAACGAGUUCUCGUUGAUGAUCGGUGCUUGCACCGAGAUUCAACAUGGAACGAGUGGCGGACGGGUGAGUAACACGUGGGUAACCUGCCCUUAAGUGGGGGAUAACAUUUGGAAACAGAUGCUAAUACCGCAUAGAUCCAAGAACCGCAUGGUUCUUGGCUGAAAGAUGGCGUAAGCUAUCGCUUUUGGAUGGACCCGCGGCGUAUUAGCUAGUUGGUGAGGUAAUGGCUCACCAAGGCGAUGAUACGUAGCCGAACUGAGAGGUUGAUCGGCCACAUUGGGACUGAGACACGGCCCAAACUCCUACGGGAGGCAGCAGUAGGGAAUCUUCCACAAUGGACGCAAGUCUGAUGGAGCAACGCCGCGUGAGUGAAGAAGGCUUUCGGGUCGUAAAACUCUGUUGUUGGAGAAGAAUGGUCGGCAGAGUAACUGUUGUCGGCGUGACGGUAUCCAACCAGAAAGCCACGGCUAACUACGUGCCAGCAGCCGCGGUAAUACGUAGGUGGCAAGCGUUAUCCGGAUUUAUUGGGCGUAAAGCGAGCGCAGGCGGUUUUUUAAGUCUGAUGUGAAAGCCCUCGGCUUAACCGAGGAAGCGCAUCGGAAACUGGGAAACUUGAGUGCAGAAGAGGACAGUGGAACUCCAUGUGUAGCGGUGAAAUGCGUAGAUAUAUGGAAGAACACCAGUGGCGAAGGCGGCUGUCUGGUCUGUAACUGACGCUGAGGCUCGAAAGCAUGGGUAGCGAACAGGAUUAGAUACCCUGGUAGUCCAUGCCGUAAACGAUGAAUGCUAGGUGUUGGAGGGUUUCCGCCCUUCAGUGCCGCAGCUAACGCAUUAAGCAUUCCGCCUGGGGAGUACGACCGCAAGGUUGAAACUCAAAGGAAUUGACGGGGGCCCGCACAAGCGGUGGAGCAUGUGGUUUAAUUCGAAGCAACGCGAAGAACCUUACCAGGUCUUGACAUCUUUUGAUCACCUGAGAGAUCAGGUUUCCCCUUCGGGGGCAAAAUGACAGGUGGUGCAUGGUUGUCGUCAGCUCGUGUCGUGAGAUGUUGGGUUAAGUCCCGCAACGAGCGCAACCCUUAUGACUAGUUGCCAGCAUUUAGUUGGGCACUCUAGUAAGACUGCCGGUGACAAACCGGAGGAAGGUGGGGAUGACGUCAAAUCAUCAUGCCCCUUAUGACCUGGGCUACACACGUGCUACAAUGGAUGGUACAACGAGUUGCGAGACCGCGAGGUCAAGCUAAUCUCUUAAAGCCAUUCUCAGUUCGGACUGUAGGCUGCAACUCGCCUACACGAAGUCGGAAUCGCUAGUAAUCGCGGAUCAGCACGCCGCGGUGAAUACGUUCCCGGGCCUUGUACACACCGCCCGUCACACCAUGAGAGUUUGUAACACCCGAAGCCGGUGGCGUAACCCUUUUAGGGAGCGAGCCGUCUAAGGUG